GAUCAUGGCUCAGAUUGAACGCUGGCGGCAGGCCUAACACAUGCAAGUCGAACGGUAACAGGAAACAGCUGCUGUUCGCUGACGAGUGGCGGACGGGUGAGUAAUGUCUGGGAAACUGCCUGAUGGAGGGGGACAACUACUGGAAACGGUAGCUAAUACCGCAUAACGUCGCAAGACCAAAGAGGGGGACCUUCGGGCCUCUUGCCAUCGGAUGUGCCCAGAUGGGAUUAGCUAGUAGGUGGGGUAACGGCUCACCUAGGCGACGAUCCCUAGCUGGUCUGAGAGGAUGACCAGCCACACUGGAACUGAGACACGGUCCAGACUCCUACGGGAGGCAGCAGUGGGGAAUAUUGCACAAUGGGCGCAAGCCUGAUGCAGCCAUGCCCGCGUGUAUGAAGAAGGCCUUCGGGUUGUAAAGUACUUUCAGCGGGGAGGAAGGGAGUAAAGUUAAUACCUUUGCUCAUUGACGUUACCCGCAGAAGAAGCACCGGCUAACUCCGUGCCAGCCGCCGC
Molecule: ribosomal RNA, 513 nt
Filed under: uncultured bacterium
Lineage: Bacteria
Description: bacterial SSU rRNA
Rfam family: Bacterial small subunit ribosomal RNA
Source: RNAcentral